GCCAGAAUGGCGGAAUUGGCAGACGCACGGGACUCAAAAUCCCGCGCCCCAUAAAGGCGUGUCGGUUCAACCCCGACUUCUGGCA
This 85-nucleotide transfer RNA is filed under the name Candidatus Rifleibacteriota bacterium. RNAcentral describes it as "tRNA-Leu". It matches the Rfam family "tRNA". Rfam says of the family: Transfer RNA (tRNA) molecules are approximately 80 nucleotides in length. Their secondary structure includes four short double-helical elements and three loops (D, anti-codon, and T loops). Lineage: Bacteria; Candidatus Rifleibacteriota. The record is from RNAcentral.